This 301-nucleotide ribosomal RNA is filed under the name uncultured bacterium. RNAcentral's name for it is "bacterial SSU rRNA". It matches the Rfam family "Bacterial small subunit ribosomal RNA", at positions 32 to 323 of the family's 1533-position model. The record is from RNAcentral.
AAUCAACGCUGGCGGCGCGCCUCAGACAUGCAAGUCGAACGAAUUAAGACUCUCUUCGGAGAGUGUAUAAAGUGGCGCACGGGUGAGUAACACGUAAGUAAUCUACCUUUGAGUGGGGAAUAACGUUCGGAAACGGACGCUAAUACCGCAUAAUGCAGCGGCACCUAAUGGUGACAGUUGUUAAAGGAGCAAUCCGCUUAAAGAGGAGCUUGCGGCAGAUUAGCAGUUGGUAAGGUAAUGGCUUACCAAGGCUACGAUCUGUAACCGGUCUAAGAGGACGGUCGGUCACACUGACACUGAA